UACUAGCGGUCCAAGUCGCAGCCACAUUUAUUGGGUCUAAAACAUCCGUAGCUUGCUUAGUAAGUUUCUUGUGAAAUCCUGUGUCUCAAGCAUGGGGCGUGCAAGAAGUACUGCUAAGCUAGAGACUGGAAGACGUAAGAAGUACGUUCGAAGUAGCGGUAAAAUGUGUUAAUCUCGAACGGACUCACAAUAGCGAAGGCAUCUUACGAGGACAGUUCUGACAGUAAGGGAUGAAGGCUAGGGGCGCAAAACGGAUUAGAUACCCGCGUA
Molecule: ribosomal RNA, 270 nt
Filed under: uncultured prokaryote
Description: partial 16S ribosomal RNA
Rfam family: Archaeal small subunit ribosomal RNA
Source: RNAcentral